Molecule: long non-coding RNA, 467 nt
Filed under: Rosa chinensis
Lineage: Eukaryota; Viridiplantae; Streptophyta; Magnoliopsida; Rosales; Rosaceae
Description: sRNA RchiOBHm_Chr4g0404241
Source: RNAcentral
UCCUUGAUCGAUUGAGAAUCGAAUUAAAAAUCGGUUGAGUAGUUUGAGUUAGAGGGCAUUGAGAUUGUAAAGGAAUGAUAGAAUUUAAUCUCAAAUUAAUGGAUGGGCGUUUUAUAACCAUUUGUGAAUAACGGAUGCUUAUUCCGAGGGGAAUGAGUUGUUUUUGAGAGUAUCUCAUUAUAUGGUUAAUUAUAUCCUAUUUUAUUGUGACAGGACGUACUGAGCCCUCGAGCGAGGAGGACACAGACAGGCAGCAGGGUUAGCUGCGGGAUUCACUUAUUUCAGAUUAGCCGAGAUUGCGUCCAGGCUCAAGGACUUUGGGAAUCAGCGCUUCCGUUUUUGUCCGUAGGUUAUUACUUAACCUACCUUGUAUGAUAUCGGCUUAGUUUUAGUGUUGCUCUGAUAAGCCUUUUCUUUUGAUUUUGAUGGAUGUUGUUGUUCGGAUUGUGGUUGCUUACGGAGGUUGA